This 2814-nucleotide ribosomal RNA is filed under the name Triticum aestivum (bread wheat). RNAcentral's name for it is "partial small subunit ribosomal RNA". The record is from RNAcentral. Lineage: Eukaryota; Viridiplantae; Streptophyta; Magnoliopsida; Poales; Poaceae.
AUGGAGGCGGUUCUGGUGAGUGCGGCAACGGGAGCGCUCAGAUCCGUCCUGGAGAAGCUGGCCACUUUGCUGGCAGACAAAUACAAGUGUUACAAGGGUGUGCAUGGGGAGAUCCAGUUCCUCACUGACGAGCUCGCUGCCAUGCAUGCCUUUCUCCUCAAGAUGUCAGAGGAGGAGGAACCCGAUGAACAAGAUAAGGAGUGGGUGAAUGCAGUGCGGGAGCUCUCCUAUGACAUGGAGGAUUCUAUUGAUGACUUCAUGCAAGGUGUUGGCGACAACGAUAAUAAGCCAGAUGGUUUUUUGGAGAAGAUUAAGCACUCACUCCGCAAGUUGGGGAAGAUGAAGAGUCGUCAGCAGAUCGGCAAUGAGAUCCAAGAUCUCAAGAAGCAGAUCAUUGAGGUGGGCAAGAGGAAUCAAAGGUACAAGACUAGGCAUGCUGUCUUGGGUACCAUCAACUUCUCCAACACCAAAAAUGUGGUGGUUGACCCAAGAGCUCUUGCUAUCUUUGAGCAUGGCUCAAAACUCGUUGGAAUUGAUGAGCCCAAGGCCGAGAUAAUUAAAUUGUUGGCUGAAGGUGAAUCAAAGCAAGAGCAAACAAAGUCUCUCUCCAUCAUAGGACCAGGAGGAAUGGGAAAGACAACGCUUGCAAACCAAGUUUAUCGAGACCUCAAAGCAAAAUUCGAAUGUCGAGCCUUCUUAUCCAUUUCACGAAAUCUAGACAUCAUCAAUAUCCUAAGAACUAUUCUUAGUGAAGUUACUAGCAAAGGUUACCCUGACACUGAAGCAGGAAGUAUACAACAACUCAUCAACAAGAUCACCGACUUCCUAGCAGACAAAAGGUAUUUUGUUGUUGUUGAUGAUAUAUGGGAUGUGGUCACAUGGGAUAUUAUUAAGCUUGCAUUCCCCAUGACUAGUCUUGGCAGUAUCAUUAUCACCACUACUCGUAAAAACGAUGUUGCAGAAUCAUGUCGUUCAUCAUUUAGUGGUGCCAUUUAUGGUAUAAGACCACUUAAUAUGGUGCUUUCAAGACAACUAUUUCACAGAAGGCUAUUCAAAUCCAACGAAGACUGUCCUUCACAUCUUGAGAGGCUUGCUUAUCAAAUGUUGAGAAAGUGUGAUGGCUUACCUUUGGCAAUCAUUGCUAUAUCUGGUUUGUUGGCUAAUAGAGAAAGAACAGAGGAUACAUGGAAUGCAGUGGAAAAAUCAAUUGGCCGUGCGCUCGAAAGGAAUCCUACCAUUGAAGGAAUGAUAAAGAUAUUAUCACUUAGUUACUUUGAUCUUCCUCCUCAUCUCAAAACGUGUCUCUUGUAUUUGAGUAUAUUUCCAGAAGAUGCUAUUAUUCAGACAAAAAACCUGAUAUGGAGAUGGAUUGCAGAAGGGUUUGUUCACAAGGAUGGCAAACAUACGGCAUUUGAGUUAGGAGAGAGGUAUUUCAAUGAGCUCAUCAAUAGAAAUUUGAUCCAGGUUGCACACACAAACAGAUUUGGCAAGGUGAAGAGUUGUCGAGUUCAUGACACAAUUCUUGAUUUCAUCAUAUCCAAGUCCAUCGAAGAGAACUUUGUUAGUUUAGUUGGUGUUCCUAGUCUAACUGUCGGGACACAAAGGAAAGUCCGCCGACUCUCUCUCCAAGUUGAUGAUCAAGGAAAGUCUGUAAUACCAACAUGUCUAGUGUUGUCUCAUGUUCGGUCACUCAAUGUGUUUGUUCAAUCAUUUGAAAUCCCUUCUCUUGAUGAGUUCAGGCGUUUACGUGUUUUGGACUUUGGAGGUUGCAUGAAAUUGGAAAACCAUCAUCUUUCAAAUAUAGGGAGGUUGUUUCAGCUAAGGUGCCUGAUACUGAGAAACAGAGAGAUAACAGAGCUUCCAGAAGUAAUUGGUCAUUUAUGUUGCUUAGAAGUAUUGGACAUAAGACGCACCAAUGUCAAGGAAUUACCAGCAACUGUUGUCAAUCUUGGAAAAUUGGUGUGUCUCCUCAUGCCGGAUUGUGUCAAAAUUCCUGAUGGAAUUGCAAAGAUGCAAGCACUAGAGGUGUUCAAUUGGGUUACAGUCUUCAAGCAGACAUCCAACUUGCUGCAUGAACUUGGGCAGCUAAAGAAUCUGAGGGAGCUGGUCAUCAGUCUUUGUAUUUAUUCUUCCCAUGAUGAUGAUACUAUAAGAACUUUGGAGGUUAUAAAAGUUAUAGCCUCUGCAGUUCAAACCCUAUCCAGACAGAACCUCCGUUCUCUAACUAUUAAUGAUGGGAGGAACUUCAUGCAGGAAUUUUUGUGCUCUUCUACUCCGCUUAGCCUCCAAUCACUUAAGAUCAAUGUUUCAGUUGGUUCACGGGUCCCGAAUUGGGUGGGCUCCCUCGUCAACCUUCAGCGGUUAUGUCUUCAAUUGAAUGAAGUCGGGCAUGAUGAUAUCUGCAUCCUUGGAGCCUUACCCGCUCUGGUUGAUCUUAUUCUGAAAAGAGGACCAGAUGGACUCCAUAGAAUUAGUUACUAUGGGCUCAGGUUCAACCACAGUAAGCUCAGAAUCAGUGGUGACGUCGGGUUCCGAUGCUUGAGGCAGUUUUAUUUUGAUGCAUACUAUUACCCGUUGCAUCUCAUGUUUGAAGUAGGAUCCAUGCCCAGGCUAGACAAACUUACCAUGGCCUUCCGCUUAGAUAGAGAUAUUGAGGAUGGUGUUUUUAAUUUUGGAAUUGAAAAUCUUCCCAAUCUCUUAAUUCUCACAUGUAUAAUAGCAUCAGGCCACAUGUAUAAGGCUGCAAAGGCUGCUGCAGAGAGAACAGCGAAGACACAUCCCAACAAACCAACUCUAUUCUGUUAUUCUUCUUAA